GCAUUUCGACAUUUCUAUGUAAGUGUAAGCUAGUUAUUGGGUACUAGCUAUGUGCCAAGCAUUGUUCUAAGUCCUAUAAGAAUAUUAACUCAUCUGGUCCAUAAUAUUUUGCAGAUGAAGAAACUGAGGCACAGAGAGGUUAAGUAACCGGUCAGCUAGUAAGCUUGGAGGUGGGGUUGGAACCCAGGGAGCUAGCACCAGAGGCCAUGUGUUUCAUCACUGCACUGCAGUAAAGAGAAGAAAGUACCAAAUGAGAGGGGAACCCAGGUCCAGUGUCAAGGUUUACCGCAGUCUCUCCCUCUUGGCUUCUAUCACCGGGUUGUGCCAACCUUCCUCUUCUUGACCAGGCAUUCAGCGUGUUAUGGCCUGGGUGUAAUACCACAGGUCUCCAAUAGGGGUCGCUGACUACAACAGGAUGGGACACCUGUAGUUGAACGGAGAGAACCCUGGGUCCUAACUUAACCUUGUCCUUGGCUUCCUCUAUGACCUCGGUUUCCUCAUCCAUAAAGUGGAUAUAACAGUCCCUAGCUGCCUUCCUCACAGAACAGUGGUGAGAAAUGUGAGGAUGAAAGUGAACACCUUCCAUUCAGAAGAGGCAGCUUCCAUCCAGAUGUUUUCAAAAAACCAGUCAUCCCAUAAUUACUUUUUGAGCGUCACUCACCGUGCCAGGUGCCAUAUGGAAUCCAGAAAUUACUUCUACCUUCGCAUAAAAGAACUUUGAAUAAAAGUUUAAAGCAAACUGUAACCCUGACAGUCGGGGGAGAGGCUCGAGCGCUCCCUGGUGGGUGGAAACAGCAGCAUCCCCUGCCCCGGGAAAGAUGAGGGGAUGUGAAGCAGCAGGACGUCUACUUCAGCCUGUGGCUGGAAGUCUCUCGCAUCCAGUAACUCAUCUCUUCCUCUCACAACCCGGUUUGCGCAUGGGGAAACCGAGGCACAGCGAAGCGAAGUGACCUGCCCGAGAACCUGGAUUCCAGGAACCUCCCAGCCAGCUAAUCCCAGAACAUGGAGUGGAAAGGGACAGCACGGGAAGACAAGUGACCCGAGCGGGCAGGGAGGGACGGAGAAGGGAGGACCUUCCUGUCCUGACACCCUGGCCAGGCAGACGGAGCUGAGGGCGGCCGCGGCGGCCAGCCUUCUGCAGGAGCGCCCCCUGCUGGUGACCGGUGCUGCCGCUUGUGGCGGCCGCGGGUGAAGGAGGAUGCUUAGCUCUGGGGGGGCUGUUCCCUAAGAGACAGGAGACCCCCACCAGAGCAGAGCAGGAAGGGCCCAGAGGCGUCGCCCCAACCUCUUCACUUUGCACAUGGCAAACGCGAAGCUCAGAGGAGGAAGUGACUCGCUCAAGGGCUCUCAGAGAGCCGACGGGAUGCAGGUCUCCCAGUCGUCCUUCCUCAUACUGCAGAAUUCUCCAUCUCCCGUCCCCUCCUGCCCCGCAUUCCUGAGCCCGGAGGGCCCCUUCUUCCCCUCCCGGCGCCCAGCCAGUCCCCAUUCCUCCUCUCCUCUCCAGCCCCUGCCCGCCCCACAAGCCCGUCCCCUCCAGGAACCCUCCCACACUCAGCCCCAGAGCUCUCCCUUCCCCAAGCCCUAUUGCCUCCAACGGCCGGGAGUUUAAAUGGCUUUCAAUUCCGGGACACAGCUUUGUCAGCCUGUCGGCACGAUCUUGGGGACCGUAGAUGAGGCUUCUUUCUUUCGGAUUCUCCCCUCACCUGCCUAGCCCCUCCUCACCCAGAGGUGCCUGGUACCGGGCGAGCUCUCCUCUCACUCGGUGAUGACGACUGAUGAAUGUCUUUUUCUUCUUCCUCCUACAAAGCAGCUCAGCAGUGUUUAUGGCCCUGGACAGCCAGGAUGCCUUUACUGGCUUUGGGGCUUUCCUUCUUAGCCAGUGACCUUAGGCAAGUCCCUUAAAAUCUCUCAGAGCCCCCAUUUCCCUGACUGUGAAACAGGGAUAGAGCUGUUCUCUGGGCUGGUUGUGAGGAUUAAAUGAGAGAACGUGUAAAAUGUGCCUGCAACAUUGUAGGUGCCGCAUAAUUGGCAAGGUGGAUUAGUCAGACUUCCAGGGAGCCUUGGGCCUCAUCCCUCUCCUAUUUGGCACCCUCUUUCCUAGAGAUGAACCUUCCAACCCUAAAACUCCCCACCUCCUGCCUCCUAUUGUAAGCCGAGUCAGGGAGGGGGCCACACAGUGACCUGGAAGGAUCCUAGGAAAGGAGGCUGCUGUUAGAAGACAGAAAAGGCUGCAUAAUGAGGGUAAUCAAGCCGCACUGCCAGGCUAAGGCUCCCGCCAAGGGGACCUUCAGCUCGGGCUCUGCCCCUCUCUCUCCCUCUUUGUGCUGCCUUCUCACCCUGCACCCUUUCUAAACACAUCUUUCUGCUUCUGCUUCUAUCAACUCCUGGUUCCUGCUUCUUAAAACUUACAGCCUGUGUCAUGACUGCUCCGACACCCUCACAGGGCCACAGCUACUUGGCUUGGGGCCCAGUGGCAUCUGCCAUGUAUUCCAAUACUUGUCUUAGGGGAAAAAGGGGACACCACACGGUGCUGCCUGGACUUGUCAAAGGCUGUUGGCUAGUUAUGGACAGGUCGUCCUGGGGUCAGGUAUCCAUACCAGGUCCAAUUGGCUGUGGUCAUGGGGACAGGGUGCAUGCUGUGAAGAAGGCCACAGAUGUAUUUGUCUGUCUAAUAAAAUAAACAUUCA
Equus caballus (horse) is the source of this 2687-nucleotide long non-coding RNA. NCBI's taxonomy places the organism in Eukaryota, Metazoa, Chordata, Mammalia, Perissodactyla, Equidae. The record is from Ensembl.